Molecule: long non-coding RNA, 1601 nt
Organism: Cyprinus carpio carpio
Lineage: Eukaryota; Metazoa; Chordata; Actinopteri; Cypriniformes; Cyprinidae
Source: Ensembl
CACUAAGCCUGGUAUAGCGUUUCGGAGCAGUAUUGGAGAUAGUGUGGGUUAAGUGCACUGCGCUUUGGCAUUAUUAAGACUUGUGCACACACUGUCACGUACACACGCUCUCAAGUGGCCAAGACCGCAAGUGUGGGUAUUUGGACAGGGUAAAAAGUAUUAAAAAAAUGCCCCAUUAGUAAGAACUCUAAACAUAGUCACACAUCAAAGUCUUAAUAAUUCAGUAAUUCAGUUUAACACUUGUAUGAUAUUGUACAAGCCCCAGGACAAUCUCAUCUGACACUAUCACAAUAUUGCUAAAUCAGUUGCGCUCUUCUUGGAAAGCAGUCAAAUGCCCCAAACAGUCAGAAAGUUUUUAUUGUCCAUUGGCUUCUUAAUAAAUUACCGGUACUUCAAAUAAGCCCCAUCAGUUUAUGUUCCAACUAUACAUGAUAUCUCUCUGCACCUCGUCAUUUAUGUUUCCACAAGUGGAAAUGCUAGUUUGAUGUGUCACGUGAUAUAUCAAAUCUUUGAUUAAUUUGUCAGAACCAGAUCAAUUACACUACUGAUAACAGUCCUGAAAGCAUGUAAUCAUUUUUAAAAGAAUUCAUAUGAACUUGCUUUUAAUAAUGGAUGCAUUUAACAUUUAAUUAUACAGCAUCUUUGCAGAGGCUGCUUUCAUGGUCUAAACCCCCCCCCCCCCACUGUAAUGUAUAUAAGUUGCAUGUAAUGUAAUAAUAUUUCCUUCCUUUCUGUCUUACAGGAUUGCUUGCAGAUAAUGCUGUUCUUCUUUUUCAGGUCUACAACAUCGAGCUCAACAGAUCUUUUAAGAGCCAACCCUCACAAACCUUGCUCUCAGCGAAUCUUGCCAUGAUCAGCCCUUUCCAGAAGAGAAGAUCAAGGAAAUUAUUUGUUCAGGAUGAGGAAUGAAGACGGCCAUCUUGUGCCCAAACGAAGACAGAAAGCUGUCCACUGAUGAUCUCAUCAGCCAAAUGAGGGGUUUUGACCAAGUGAUGGUCUUGAAAGGAAUGAAAGAAGAGGAUGUGGUAAAUUGUCUUCAAAGAAAAAGCUUCUCAAAAGGUCUUAAAACAGCUUGAAGAAUGGUAUGUGUCCAGUACUUCAAGGGUCAUAGUUGUUCACACUGCUAAAAAUCACACAGAACAUUAAACUGUCUGACUGUCCAUUAAACAACUUCAUCUGAAUUGUUUGUGUUUUUUGUUUUACUUUGACCAGGUCUGGGAACUGUCUGAAAAUGGGAUGUUAGGACUGAGAGAUCCUCUGGCUGAGAAAAAGCUACACCAGAUCAGUGCUGGAUAUCAACCACAAACUGUUUCCAGACACGAGAGAAGAAGAUCAUGAUGGGGAAAUGAAACCAGUUUAGAUGUGAUGAUAAGGAAUCAUUAUUUUCUGAAACAGUAUCACAUGUCUUAUAUGUAUCACAUGAUCUGUAUCACAGUUGCCUGGAUGGGAUUGUGUGACUUUUUAAGGACAUUUCAUUACUCAUCUGUGUGAACUGAUUAAUUUAUGAUAUUAAUGAAUUAAUUUUUGAUGAUCCAUUAUUAUUUUCCUUGAAUCUUAUUUGUCUUGAUGCUACUUUAUCAACUUUAUAGUCUAUGCUUCAA